CUCUUUGGACACACCCUUUAAUUAUUCCUGUGGAUGUAAUGCGCAUGCGCGCUCAUUCCCCAUGUGAGAAAUAAUAUCCAAGAUCCAGAUCUAGAUCCUCCUGGCAGAAUCAUCUUUGUCUUGAGGGCCUGAUCUUUUCUUCUUAGAUAUUAUAUACACUGAACUGGAUCCUGGAAGAAUCAAUUUUCUUCUUUCUUGAGGUCCUG
This is a long non-coding RNA of Halichondria panicea, 206 nucleotides long. RefSeq lists it as uncharacterized. NCBI's taxonomy places the organism in Eukaryota, Metazoa, Porifera, Demospongiae, Suberitida, Halichondriidae. The record is from RefSeq and is a predicted model, not a curated record. The transcript is spliced from 2 exons.